CGCAAGUUUCCGUAGGUGAACCUGCGGAAGGAUCAUUG
Molecule: ribosomal RNA, 38 nt
Filed under: Drymonia longifolia
Lineage: Eukaryota; Viridiplantae; Streptophyta; Magnoliopsida; Lamiales; Gesneriaceae
Description: partial 18S ribosomal RNA
Source: RNAcentral